CUUUUCUCUUCUUCCUGAGCUCUACCCUCACAGCCCAGCACCACCCCUCUGGUUGAAACCUGGUCUCACUGCUCGGCCAGGCUGGGCUCCAACUUGCCGAUGGGCGAGUUUCAGACCUAGUGACUGUCCCUUUUUCUGGAAGUGCUUUUGCUUUUCGGUUCUGGGGAUUUAGCCCAGCGCCUGCGCAUUCUAAGUAGUAGUUGUACUUUGCAGUGGAACUAAUGUGAACCGGUUUUCUGUAAGGUCUAACAACUGAGCGUUGGAUUUUCGGCUCUGGUUUUCACUAGCACUGAGUUCUGCCUCAGCCAGUUUCAUAGUCUUGGAGCUUUUCCUGAGUAUCAUAGUUUCCUCUUUGCGAUGUAACACACGUAAGGCAGCGUUGUCCUAUCUUUGGGAGUUAGCUAUGGUGGCUAAAAGUUGGAAUUUUUAGUGUCCUCUUGGGUAAAGGCAGUAACAUAAUUUUUCCAUUUACUACUUGAAUUUAGGAAAUUUAGGUUGAACUGCUGAAUGGUGCUGUUGAUUAAAGUUUUUUUACUGGCCGGGGAUUUAGCUCAGUGGUUUCACCGCCUGCUGUGCAAACGCUAGGGCCCGAGUUCGAUCCCCAGUACAAAAAAAAAUUUUUUUUUUUAAAAAUUGAACUGCCACAGAUCGAAUCCUGGGCUUAUCACACUGAGCUACAACUCCCAUCCAUUCCUUUUUUGACAGGGUCUUGCUAAAUUAAACUGGGCUUGAAGUUGGCACCCUUCUGGUCCUGCCUCCUAGAGUGCUGGGAUUACAGGUGUGCACCACCAUGCUCAACAAAUCAUUUGAGGACAAAUUGAGAACAUGUGUGGAGUUGUUUCUACCUUCGUAUACAAAAGCGCAAAAUUCCAUAGGUUAUAGAUUGGUGUCACCCCAGAAUUCAUUUUGAGUGCCUAAAGUAUAUAAAGCUUUUCAGACUAGGGUUAAAAGAAGUCAUAAGGUCACAAUCCAUUGACUGCUGUAUUUUAAAAAUAGUGCUCAAGGUGGCCUCAAACUUCUGGUCUGAGGAGAUCCUCCCGCUUUGGCCUAAGUAUCAGACUGGGGACUGCUGGCAGGCAUAGUCCACACCUGCCUGGCUCCCCUAGCCAGUGUCUUUGUGAGAGACAAGGCACGCGCCUGGCGUCCGGGCUAUUGCACAAUGAGGCUGAAGCAAGAAAAGGAAUACGGCAGUCUGCCAUGCAUUAACUGAGGAGACUCCCACGGGGGAAGGGGAAGGAGACCACCCGAAACUAUUUGACUUUACACAAAUGUAGUUAAAUUGGCUAUCACAUGAGGACACAGGAGGAAGGCAUCUCAAGCUGGAAGCCAAGGGGUGUCAGGAGAAACCAGAGGUACUGACACCUUGAGCUUAUACUUUGAGUUUCUAGAACUGAGAAAACAUGCAGUUUGAACGUCUUAGAAUUGCUCACCUUGUGAUAACCGUGACUGGCUUGAACUUGAAAACCUUUGCAUUUAUCGACUUGAUCUGGCUCCAGUGUACUUCUCAUAAUAGGGCCUUAAUAAGUUACCCAGGAUGGGGCCAGAGAUUAGCUCAGUGGUUUCGGGGCCUGCUACGAAAAUUCAAAGGGCCCGAGUUUGAAAAAUCGCCCAGGCUAGCCUCCACUUUUGUAUAUACUCUUUUCUGAGGCUCUCACAGUCCAGACUUGAUACAUGUGUAAUUUCUACGCCUGAGUUGUUUUAGUCAUGUGGGGAAUUUUACUUUGCCCUGCAUUGUGGUGUCAAAAACGGCUUAGACCAGUAAUUUAGCUCAAUGGCAUCCACUAUGCCUCGCAGCUGUACCAAGAAACAAAAAAAUAGUUCGCUAGUUUUUGACUUGAUAAACCAAUUUUUCACUUAAAAAGAGGUGUAAGUACACUAAAAUAAUACACAAGCACAUUUUAAGAAGUAUAAAAAGGAUCACCAACUUUAAUAUGUCCUACAACACAUAAAAAUAAACUUCAUGAGAUUAAUUUCUUGGGGUGUUUCCUACUCCACUUCACAAAUCUCUCACCAACAUAAAAAAUACUAUCUCAGCACCAAAAAUUAGUUAAAGAGCACACUAUUUUAUAACUGACAUGAGAAAGUACAUGAAGUUCAAAUUGCAAGCUUAAAAUUUUUC
RNAcentral lists this long non-coding RNA (2119 nucleotides) under Heterocephalus glaber (naked mole-rat). RNAcentral's name for it is "lncRNA (ENSHGLG00000035242.1)". Lineage: Eukaryota; Metazoa; Chordata; Mammalia; Rodentia; Bathyergidae. The record is from RNAcentral.